UCCUGGCUCAGGAUGAACGCUAGCUACAGGCUUAACACAUGCAAGUCGAGGGGCAGCAUGAUCUGUGCUUGCACAGAUGAUGGCGACCGGCGCACGGGUGCGUAACACGUAUCCAAUCUACCCAUAGCCCGGGGAUAGCCUUUCGAAAGAAAGAUUAAUACCCGAUGGCCUCACGGAAAGACAUCUUUCAGUGAGUAAAGAUUCAUCGGCGAUGGAUGAGGAUGCGUCCGAUUAGCUUGUUGGCGGGGCAACGGCCCACCAAGGCGACGAUCGGUAGGGUUCUGAGAGGAAGGUCCCCCACACUGGAACUGAGACACGGUCCAGACUCCUACGGGAGGCAGCAGUGAGGAAUAUUGGUCAAUGGGCGAAGGCCUGAACCAGCCAAGUAGCGUGAAGGACGACGGCCCUACGGGUUGUAAACUUCUUUUGCAGGGGAAUAAAGUGCGGCACGCGUGCCGCUUUGUAUGUACCUUGCGAAUAAGCAUCGGCUAAUUCCGUGCCAGCAGCCGC
This 510-nucleotide ribosomal RNA is filed under the name uncultured bacterium. RNAcentral's name for it is "bacterial SSU rRNA". It matches the Rfam family "Bacterial small subunit ribosomal RNA", at positions 17 to 518 of the family's 1533-position model. The record is from RNAcentral.